Molecule: ribosomal RNA, 489 nt
Filed under: uncultured bacterium
Lineage: Bacteria
Description: partial 16S ribosomal RNA
Rfam family: Bacterial small subunit ribosomal RNA
Source: RNAcentral
AUUGAACGCUGGCGGCAGGCCUAACACAUGCAAGUCGAACGGUCACAGGAAGAACCUUGCUUCUUUGCUUACGCGUGGCGCACGUGUGUGUAAUGUCGGGAACACUGCCUUAUGGCUGGGGUUACCUACUGGAAACGGUGCCUAAUCCCGCAUAACGUCUCAACACCAUGAUUCAGAACUUCAGGCCUCUUUCCCUCUCACUUACCCAUGUGGGAUUAGCUAGUAGGUUGGGUAACGGCUCACCUAGGCGACGAUGCAUAGCUGGGCUGAGAGGAUGAGCAGCCACACUGGAACUGAGACACGGUCCAGACUCCUACGGGAGGCAGCAGUGGGGAAUAUUGCACAAUGGGCGAAAGCCUGAUGGAGCAAUGCCGCGUGUAUGAAGAAGGCCUUCGGGUUGUAAAGUACUUUCAGCAGGGAGGAAGGGAGUAAAGUGAAUAUGUGUGCUCAUUGACGUUACCUGAAGAAGAAGCACCGGCUAACUACGUG